RNAcentral lists this ribosomal RNA (511 nucleotides) under uncultured bacterium. RNAcentral's name for it is "bacterial SSU rRNA". It matches the Rfam family "Bacterial small subunit ribosomal RNA", at positions 28 to 529 of the family's 1533-position model. The record is from RNAcentral.
GAUGAACGCUGGCGGCGUGCCUAACACAUGCAAGUCGAGCGAGAAGUUUGAAAAAUGAGUUUUCGAACAAGUGAUUCAAACGGAAAGCGGCGGACGGGUGAGUAACGCGUAGGCAACCUGCCCCGUGCAGAGGGACAGCCUCGGGAAACCGGGAUUAAGACCUCAUGAUAUCGGGUUAUCACAUGGUAAUCCGGUCAAAGAUUUAUUGGCAUGGGAUGGGCCUGCGUCUGAUUAGCUGGUUGGUGGGGUAACGGCCUACCAAGGCGACGAUCAGUAGCAGAACUGAGAGGUUCAUCUGCCACAUUGGAACCUGAGACACGGUCCAAACUCCUACGGGAGGCAGCAGUGAGGAAUAUGCACAAUGGGCGAAAGCCUGAUGCAGCAACGCCGCGUGAGCGAAGAAGGCCUUUGGGCGUAAAGCUCUGUCCUUGGGGAAGAAACAAAUGACGGUACCCUUAGGACGGAAGCCCCGGCGUAACUACGUGCCCGAGCCAGACCGCGGUAAAACGUA